AUACUUAGCUGACAGGGGAGAAACCAUGAUCACAAAGGUGGUUUUCCCAGGGCAAGGCUUAUCCAUUGCACUCCGGAUGUGCUGACCCCUGUGAUUUUUCCCGAAUGCAGGAAACUCAACUGCAUAAUUUGUGGUAGUAGGGACUGCAUUCAUACUCUCCCCU
Molecule: small nuclear RNA, 163 nt
Filed under: Dasypus novemcinctus (nine-banded armadillo)
Lineage: Eukaryota; Metazoa; Chordata; Mammalia; Cingulata; Dasypodidae
Description: U1 spliceosomal RNA (ENSDNOG00000039219.1)
Rfam family: U1 spliceosomal RNA
About the family: U1 is a small nuclear RNA (snRNA) component of the spliceosome (involved in pre-mRNA splicing).
Source: RNAcentral